GACGAACGCUGGCGGCGUGCUUAACACAUGCAAGUCGAACGGACAGGCCCUGCUUUUGUGGGGUGCUCGAGUGGCGAACGGGUGAGUAACACGUGAGUAACCUGCCCUUGACUUUGGGAUAACUUCAGGAAACUGGGGCUAAUACCGGAUAGGAGCUCCUGCUGCAUGUUGGGGGUUGGAAAGUUUCGGCGGUUGGGGAUGGACUCGCGGCUUAUCAGCUUGUUGGUGGGGUAGUGGCUUACCAAGGCUUUGACGGGUAGCCGGCCUGAGAGGGUGACCGGCCACAUUGGGACUGAGAUACGGCCCAGACUCCUACGGGAGGCAGCAGUGGGGAAUAUUGCACAAUGGGCGGAAGCCUGAGGCAGCAACGCCGCGUGCGGGAUGACGGCCUUCGGGGUGUAAACCGCUUUCGCCUGUGACGAAGCGUGAGUGACGGUAAUGGGUAAAGAAGCACCGGCUAACUACGUG
RNAcentral lists this ribosomal RNA (468 nucleotides) under uncultured bacterium. RNAcentral's name for it is "partial 16S ribosomal RNA". It matches the Rfam family "Bacterial small subunit ribosomal RNA", at positions 28 to 507 of the family's 1533-position model. The record is from RNAcentral.